Molecule: ribosomal RNA, 793 nt
Filed under: uncultured archaeon
Lineage: Archaea
Description: bacterial SSU rRNA
Rfam family: Archaeal small subunit ribosomal RNA
Source: RNAcentral
ACGGCUCAGUAACACGUGGAUAACCUGCCCUUGGGUCCGGCAUAACUCCGGGAAACUGGGGAUAAUUCCGGAUAACGCAUAUAUGCUGGAAUGCUUUAUGCGUAAAAUGGAUUCGUCUGCCCAAGGAUGGGUCUGCGGCCUAUCAGGUAGUAGUGGGUGUAAUGUACCUACUAGCCUACGACGGGUACGGGUUGUGAGAGCAAGAGCCCGGAGAUGGAUUCUGAGACAUGAAUCCAGGCCCUACGGGGCGCAGCAGGCGCGAAAACUUUACAAUGCGGGAAACCGUGAUAAGGGGACACCGAGUGCCAGCAUCAUAUGCUGGCUGUCCAGGUGUGUAAAAUACACCUGUUAGCAAGGGCCGGGCAAGACCGGUGCCAGCCGCCGCGGUAACACCGGCGGCCCGAGUGGUGAUCGUGAUUAUUGGGUCUAAAGGGUCCGUAGCCGGUUUGGUCAGUCCUCCGGGAAAUCUGAUAGCUCAACUAUUAGGCUUUCGGAGGAUACUGCCAGACUUGGAACCGGGAGAGGUAAGAGGUACUACAGGGGUAGGAGUGAAAUCUUGUAAUCCCUGUGGGACCACCUGUGGCGAAGGCGUCUUACCAGAACGGGUUCGACGGUGAGGGACGAAAGCUGGGGGCACGAACCGGAUUAGAUACCCGGGUAGUCCCAGCCGUAAACGAUGCUCGCUAGGUGUCAGGCAUGGCGCGACCGUGUCUGGUGCCGCAGGGAAGCCGUGAAGCGAGCCACCUGGGAAGUACGGCCGCAAGGCUGAAACUUAAAGGAAUUGGCGGGGGAG